AGAGUUUGAUCAUGGCUCAGGACGAACGCUGGCGGCGUGCCUAACACAUGCAAGUCGAGCGAGGACAGGGUUUCGGCCCUGUUCGAGCGGCGGACGGGUGAGUAACGCGUGAACAAUCUGUCCCAGACAGGGGAAUACCAGGUGGAAACAUCUGCUAAUGCCGCAUAAGAACCACGUCUUCGCAUGAGGACGAGGUAAAAGGAGCAAUCCGGUUUGGGGUGAGUUCGCGUCCCAUUAGCUAGUUGGUGGGGUAAAAGGCCCACCAAGGCGACGAUGGGUAGCCGACCUGAGAGGGUGAUCGGCCACACUGGAACUGAGAUACGGUCCAGACUCCUACGGGAGGCAGCAGUGGGGAAUAUUGGGCAAUGGGCGAAAGCCUGACCCAGCAACGCCGCGUGAGGGAAGAAGGUUUUCGGAUUGUAAACCUCUGUCCUCAGGGAAGAAGGAAGUGACGGUACCUGAGGAGGAAGCCCCGGCUAACUACGUGCCAGCAGCCGCGGUAAUACGUAGGGGGCAAGCGUUGUCCGGAAUGACUGGGCGUAAAGGGCGCGUAGGCGGCUCUGUAAGUCCGGAGUGAAAGUCCAGCUUUUAAGGUUGGAAUUGCUUUGGAAACUGUGGGGCUUGAGUGCGGAAGAGGUAAGUGGAAUUCCCAGUGUAGCGGUGAAAUGCGUAGAGAUUGGGAGGAACACCAGUGGCGAAGGCGACUUACUGGGCCGUAACUGACGCUGAGGCGCGAAAGCGUGGGGAGCGAACAGGAUUAGAUACCCUGGUAGUCCACGCGGUAAACGAUGAAUGCUAGGUGUAGGGGGUAUCGACCCCUCCUGUGCCGGAGUAAACGCAAUAAGCAUUCCGCCUGGGGAGUACGGCCGCAAGGUUGAAACUCAAAGGAAUUGACGG
Molecule: ribosomal RNA, 897 nt
Filed under: uncultured bacterium
Lineage: Bacteria
Description: bacterial SSU rRNA
Rfam family: Bacterial small subunit ribosomal RNA
Source: RNAcentral